AUGGGAAAAUCGGUUCCGAGCGACAAUAUUUCUACUGAAGACUCAGUUUUCAGGAACCAGUUGUGUCCUGAGGCGGAGGACGGCCUGUAUCAUGGUGGCGACAGACUAGGACGGAUCUCUCUGAUUAUUUUUUACAUGACAAUUCAACCCAGCAUCGCUCAGGUUCUCCCGCGUGCCCCCGACGUGUCUCGGGUCCCGCAGCCGCGGCGCCCCGGAGGAGGCGGCAGCUGCGCUCCCGGCCGGCUCGGCGGGGCCGCUCCGGCCCCUCCCGCUCCGCUCCGCUCCGCUCCGCUCCGCCGUGCCUCCCGGGGAGGCGGGACGCCGGGGAAGCCGCGGUCCCGGGGCCGGCGCCGCUCUCCCGCCAACCUCUUCCCCGACGACCCCCGCAUCUGGCUACCGCAGUCUCCGCCGCUCCGGCCACAGCUGGCUGCUGCAGCCCCCACCGCGCUGCCGCAUCUGGACCGCCGGGGUUCCCCCUCCACUUCCAUUCGCCCCCUGUCACCCCGGCCACAUCUGGCGACCGCAUCCCCCCCCGCGGGCCGCAUCUGGCGGCGCUGUCCCCUUGUCCCCGCCCCCGGGAACAUCUGGCCGGGCGGGAGCAGGGCCGAGCGCCGCCGCCGAGGCAGAGGAGCCGCCGGAGCCCCCGAUGGUGCCGCGGCGCAGCCGGGGAGGUGCGAGGCGCCGCAGCCCGGCCCCGCUGCUGCUCCUGCUGCUCCUGGCGCAGGGGCCGGGGCCGGGGCGCGCCUGGACCUACCGCGAGGAGCCGGAGCGCAGCGACAGGGAGGUCUGCUCCGAGAGCCACGUGGCCACCACCCGCUACCCCUGCGUGCGGCCCUCGGGCGAGCUCGCCACCUGCCUCAGCUCUGUUUCAGCUGA
This 876-nucleotide long non-coding RNA is filed under the name Crocodylus porosus (Australian saltwater crocodile). Its description in RNAcentral is "lncRNA (ENSCPRG00005015528.1)". The record is from RNAcentral. Lineage: Eukaryota; Metazoa; Chordata; Crocodylia; Crocodylidae.